RNAcentral lists this ribosomal RNA (443 nucleotides) under Vermamoeba sp. Its description in RNAcentral is "SSU rRNA". It matches the Rfam family "Eukaryotic small subunit ribosomal RNA", at positions 1273 to 1718 of the family's 1831-position model. The record is from RNAcentral. Lineage: Eukaryota; Tubulinea; Echinamoebida; Vermamoebidae.
GGUGCAGGUGCAUGGCCGUUCUUACUUGGUGGAGUGAUUUGUCUGGUUAAUUCCGUUAACGAACGAGACCUUAACCUGCUAAAUAGUCACGCGAACCGGUCCGCAAGGGCUCAAAGUUCGCGGCUCGACUUCUUAGAGGGACUAUUCGCACCCGCCAGCGAAUGGAAGUUUGAGGCAAUAACAGGUCUGUGAUGCCCUUAGAUGUUCUCGGCCGCACGCGCGUUACACUGACGGAGUCAACGAGCGUUUUUCCUUGCCCGACAGGGCUGGGUAACCUCCUGAAACUCCGUCGUGAUGGGGAUAGAUCAUUGCAAUUAUUGAUCUUGAACGAGGAAUUCCUAGUAGGCGCGAGUCAUCAACUCGCGCCGAUUACGUCCCUGCCCUUUGUACACACCGCCCGUCGCUCCUACCGAUUGAACGGUCCGGCGAGAACUCCGGAUGGU